GUAGGUAUAGUUUAAUGGAAAAACGUCGCCCUAGUAAAGCGUUCUCCCCGGUUCGAUUCCGGAUGCCUACC
Molecule: transfer RNA, 71 nt
Filed under: Bacteroidota bacterium
Lineage: Bacteria; Pseudomonadati; Bacteroidota
Description: tRNA-Thr
Rfam family: tRNA
About the family: Transfer RNA (tRNA) molecules are approximately 80 nucleotides in length. Their secondary structure includes four short double-helical elements and three loops (D, anti-codon, and T loops).
Source: RNAcentral